GUGAGUGGGCAACUGAUUUUGUCCAAAGCCAAACAUCUCGAUGGGUGGGGGCUGGCCUGGUCCUUUUUGCCUCCUGCCAACAAGUUACUUUCAUCUCAUGUGGCUGUGAAGAAGAAUCUCUCUUUCAUGCUUGAGAUCACAAUGACAAAAGAUCACACGGAUGCAAUCUUGAAGGGUCUUUCAGCAAAACCGAGGGACACUUCUGGUGAAAGGCUCACUACAGCAGAGAGAUAGUCAACUUUCAGGAGAAUUCUCACCAAUAUUCGAACGACUCGAGGAAGACCUGAAACAGAGAUUCUGUAGAAGGAAAUAGGCCGCAGUAGACCUUUCUUUGUCUAAUUCCCAGCAAUAUAGCAGCACUAGACAUAUAUCCACAUCUGAUCUAGUUUUCUCAUCCGGUCCAAUAUUUCCUCUGUUUUGUAUACCCCAAACGCAUAAAACGUAACUUCAACGGUGUUUAUAUUGCACUCGUAAUUCAGUGUAGUGUCCUGAACACUUAUGAUUAUCUUCUCUUCACUUU
This is a long non-coding RNA of Malus domestica (apple), 520 nucleotides long. RefSeq lists it as uncharacterized. The record is from RefSeq and is a predicted model, not a curated record. NCBI's taxonomy places the organism in Eukaryota, Viridiplantae, Streptophyta, Magnoliopsida, Rosales, Rosaceae.